AGCGAACGUUAGCGGCGGGCCUAACACAUGCAAGUCGAACGCGAAAGGUCUUCGGACUGAGUAGAGUGGCGCACGGGUGAGUAACACGUAGGUAAUCUACCCUUUGGCGGGGGAUAACGUUCCGAAAGGAGCGCUAAUACCGCAUAAGACCACGGAGUCUCCGGACGCUGUGGGAAAAGGUGGCCUCUUCUUGAAAGCUACCACCGAAGGAUGAGCCUGCGUCCCAUCAGCUAGUUGGUAAGGUAAUGGCUUACCAAGGCGAAGACGGGUAGCUGGUUUGAGAGAAUGAUCAGCCACACUGGCACUGGAACACGGGCCAGACUCCUACGGGAGGCAGCAGUGAGGAAUAUUGGGCAAUGGGCGAAAGCCUGACCCAGCCACGCCGCGUGAGCGAUGAAGGCCUUAGGGUUGUAAAGCUCUUUCAGGGGGGAAGAUAAUGACUGUACCCCCAGAAGAAGCCCGGCUAACUCCGUGCCAGCAGCCGCGGUAAAGUCUGUACU
Molecule: ribosomal RNA, 500 nt
Filed under: uncultured bacterium
Lineage: Bacteria
Description: bacterial SSU rRNA
Rfam family: Bacterial small subunit ribosomal RNA
Source: RNAcentral